GAUGAACGCUGGCGGCGUGCUUAACACAUGCAAGUCGAACGAAGCGCUUUUGUUUAUUUCCUGCGGUACUGAGGAUUUUGUGACUGAGUGGCGGACGUGUGAUUAACGCGUGUUUAACCUGCCUUGUACAGGGGGAGAACAGUUGGAAACGGCUGCUAAUACCGCAUAGGCGCGCAGCAUCACAUGAGGCAGUGUGAAAAACUCCGGUGGUAUAAGAUGGACCCGCGUGGGCUUAGCUAGUUGGUGAGGUAACGGCGCACCAAGGCGACGAUCCAUAGCCGACAUGGGAGGGUGCCAGGCCAGGUUGGGACUGAGACACGGACCCCACUCGUAGGGAGGGGAGCGGAAGAGAAUAUUACAGAAGGGGCGCAAGUCUGAUGCAGCGACGCCGCGUGAGACAGGCAGUAUUUUGGUAUGUACAGCUCUAUGAGCCGGGACGAUAAUGACGGUAACUGAUAAAGAAGCACCGGCUAACUACGUG
Molecule: ribosomal RNA, 481 nt
Filed under: uncultured bacterium
Lineage: Bacteria
Description: partial 16S ribosomal RNA
Rfam family: Bacterial small subunit ribosomal RNA
Source: RNAcentral